CAACAGGGAUACCUCAGUAACGGCGAGUGAAGCGGUAACAGCUCAAAUUUGAAAUCUGGCUCUUUCAGGGUCCGAGUUGUAAUUUGUAGAAGAUGCUUUGGGCAUUGCUCCGGUCUAAGUUCCUUGGAACAGGACGUCAUAGAGGGUGAGAAUCCCGUAUGUGACUGGUGGCAUUUGUCCGUGUAAAGCUCUUUCGACGAGUCGAGUUGUUUGGGAAUGCAGCUCAAAAUGGGUGGUAUAUUUCAUCUAAAGCUAAAUAUUGGCCAGAGACCGAUAGCGCACAAGUAGAGUGAUCGAAAGAUGAAAAGCACUUUGGAAAGAGAGUUAAACAGUACGUGAAAUUGUUGAAAGGGAAGCGCUUGCAACCAGACUUGCAGGUCGUUGAUCAUCCGGGGUUCUCCCCGGUGCACUCGGCGGCUUUCAGGCCAGCAUCGGUUUGAGUGGUGGGAUAAAGGCCUUGGGAAUGUGGCUCCUCUCGGGGAGUGUUAUAGCCCAAGGUGCAAUGCCGCCUAUUCGGACCGAGGACCGCGCUUCGGCUAGGAUGCUGGCGUAAUGGUUGUAAGCGACCCGUCUUGAAACACGGACCAAGGAGUCUAACAUCUAUGCGAGUGUUUGGGUGUCAAACCCAUACGCGUAAUUAACGUGAACGGAGGUAAGAACCCUUAAGGGUGCAUUAUCGACCGAUCCUGAUGUCUUCGGAUGGAUUUGAGUAAGAGCAUAGCUGUUGGGACCCGAAAGAUGGUGAACUAUGCCUGAAUAGGGUGAAGCCAGAGGAAACUCUGGUGGAGGCUCGCAGCGGUUCUGACGUGCAAAUCGAUCGUCAAAUUUGGGUAUAGGGGCGAAAGACUAAUCGAACCAUCUAGUAGCUGGUUCCUGCCGAAGUUCCCCC
Molecule: ribosomal RNA, 889 nt
Filed under: Natara lutea
Lineage: Eukaryota; Fungi; Ascomycota; Leotiomycetes; Helotiales
Description: eukaryotic LSU rRNA
Rfam family: Eukaryotic large subunit ribosomal RNA
Source: RNAcentral